GUAUCUGGACGGGAAGCCGCGGUAUUUGCUUGCAAAUGCCGAGGAACUUCCGGACUCUAAGGGCAGGGCGCCGCGCGCAAGCGCGGGAGGGCGGGGCCAGAUACCCCGUUCGACGGAAAGUGCAACAGAAAAUAUACCGCCUCUUUGGCGCAAGCCUUAUAGGUAAGGGUGAAAUGGCGCGGUAAGAGCGCGCCGCGCAAACGGCGACGUUUGCGGCAUGGUAAACCCCGUCUUGAGCAAGGCCAAACCUCCGAGUAUUGCCCGUACGUUAUAAGGAAAGUGGGCCGCAUAGAUAAAUGGCUUCCGCGCCGGCGAAACCGGCGCACAGAAUCCGGGGUAUAGUCCAGAUAAAUAA
RNAcentral lists this RNase P RNA (355 nucleotides) under Elusimicrobiota bacterium. RNAcentral describes it as "RNase P RNA component class A". It matches the Rfam family "Bacterial RNase P class A". From Rfam's summary of the family: Ribonuclease P (RNase P) is a ubiquitous endoribonuclease, found in archaea, bacteria and eukarya as well as chloroplasts and mitochondria. Its best characterised activity is the generation of mature 5'-ends of tRNAs by cleaving the 5'-leader elements of precursor-tRNAs. Cellular RNase Ps are ribonucleoproteins. The record is from RNAcentral. Lineage: Bacteria; Pseudomonadati; Elusimicrobiota.